GGAAAAGGUAGAAUCCAUGCGAGUAUCAAAAAAUUGUCCUGACGAGUACCAGAAAAGGGUCGAAUCAGUGUGAGUAACGAAAAAUAGUAGAAUCCGGGAGAGUACCGGGAAAAGGUAGAAUCCAUGCGAGUAUUUAAAAAUUGUCCUGACGAGUACCGGAAAAGGGUCGAAUCAGUGUGAGUACCGAAAAAUAGUAGAAUUCGGGAGAGUACCGGGAAAAGGUAGAAUCCGUGCGAGUAUCGAAAACCAAUCCCGGCUAUUACAAAAAAAUAGUCGAAUCAAUGUGAGUACCGAAAAAUGAUAGAAUCCGGGCGAGUACCGGGAAAAGGUAGAAUCCAUGCGAGUAUUUAAAAAUUGUCUUGACGAGUACCGGAGAAGGGUCGAAUCAGUGUGAGUACCGAAAAAUAGUAGAAUCCGGGAGAGUACCGGGAAAAGGUAGAAUCCGUGCGAGUAUCGAAAAACUGUCCCGGCGAUUAGAAAAAAAUGGUCGAAUCAAUGUAAGUACCGAAAAAUGAUAGAAUCCGGGCGAGUACCGGGAAAAGGUAGAAUCCAUGCGAGUAUCGAAAAAUUGUCCUGACGAGUACCGGAAAAGGGUCGAAUCAGUGUGAGUACCGAAAAAUAGUAGAAUUCGGGAGAGUACCGGGAAAAGGUAGAAUCCGUGCGAGUAUCGAAAACCAGUCCCGGCUAUUACAAAAAAAUAGUCGAAUCAAUGUGAGUACCGAAAAAUGAUAGAAUCCGGGCGAGUACCGGGAAAAGGUAGAAUCCAUGCGAGUAUUUAAAAAUUGUCUUGACGAGUACCGGAGAAGGGUCGAAUCAGUGUGAGUACCAAAAAAUAGUACAAUCCGGAAGAGUACCGGGAAAAGGAAGAAUCCGUGCGAGUAUUGAAAAACUUUCCCGGCGAUUACAAAAAAAUGGUCGAAUCAAUGUGAGUACCGAAAAAUGAUAGAAUCCAGGCGAGUACCGGGAAAAGGUGGAAUCCAUGCGAGUAUCGAAAAAUUGUCCUGACGAGUACCGGAAAAGGGUCAAUCUGUGUGAGUACCGAAAAAUAGUAGAAUCCGAGUGAGUACUGGGAAAAGUUAGAAUCCGUGCGAGUAUCAAAAAUCAGUCCCGGCUAUUACAAAAAAAUGGUCGAAUCAAUGUGAGUACUGAAAAAUGAUAGAAUCCGGGCGAGUACCGGGAAAACGUAGAAUCCAUGCGAGUAUUGAAAAAUUGUCCUGUUGAGUACCGGAAAAGGCUCGAAUCAGUGUGAGUACCGAAAAAUAGUAGAAUCCGGGAGACUACCGGGAAAAGGUAGAAUCCAUGCGAGUAUUUAAAAAUUGUCCUGACGAGUACCGGAAAAGGGUCGAAUCAGUGUGAGUACCGAAAAAUAGUAGAAUUCGGGAGAGUACCGGGAAAAGGUAGAAUCCGUGCGAGUAUCGAAAACCAAUCCCGGCUAUUACAAAAAAAUAGUCGAAUCAAUGUGAGUACCGAAAAAUGAUAGAAUCCGGGCGAGUACCGGGAAAAGGUAGAAUCCAUGCGAGUAUUUAAAAAUUGUCUUGACGAGUACCGGAGAAGGGUCGAAUGAGUGUGAGUACCGAAAAAUAGAAGAAUCCGGGAGAGUACCGGGAAAAGGUAGAAUCCGUGCGAGUAUCGAAAAACUGUCCCGGAGAUUAGAAAAAAAUGGUCGAAUCAAUGUAAGUACCGAAAAAUGAUAGAAUCCGGGUGAGUACCGGGAAAAGGUAGAAUCCAUGCGAGUAUCGAAAAAUUGUCCUGACGAGUACCGGAAAAGGGUCGAAUCAGUGUGAGUACCGAAAAAUAGUAGAAUUCGGGAGAGUACCGGGAAAAGGUAGAAUCCGUGCGAGU
Molecule: long non-coding RNA, 1842 nt
Filed under: Vitis vinifera (wine grape)
Lineage: Eukaryota; Viridiplantae; Streptophyta; Magnoliopsida; Vitales; Vitaceae
Description: long non-coding RNA (VVIN_LNC008202)
Source: RNAcentral